GUUGUAGGUGAUAGUAGGGGCUGGGAUAAACUCCUGCGAAGGGAAAUACCAGUAAAUAGUUAUGUGAGAUAGUGGAAAGUUACAGAAGUAGAGUGAAUGUCUGUGGUGAGUCUUGACAAAAGGAUAAGGUGCCAGGAGGCAGACUGGGGGUUGUUGUUUUUUUCUGGAGGAAAUACAGAGAGCCUUAUUUGGGGAGGUAGAUAAUCGAUGGGCUUCUAGUGAGACAGCCCUGGGAGGUAUUUUCUGCCAGGAAGAACUCCAUAGAGCUGGGGAAGGGGUGAAGAAUUCUGUGGAGGAGAGAGCCCAGUAAGGGGCUAAGGUAAAGGGCCUAGGGGCAGAGUGAAGUAGGUAGAACUCCUGUAAAGAAUCUGAGGGAAGUUUAGCUGGUUGCUCGAGUCCCUGGAUUGGGGCCAAGAGUUAAGGAAGAGCUUGGUUUCACUUAGUGGCUACUGAGAGGUGGUAUGAGAGCACUCAGGUGUGAAGACCUGGCAUAAAGUCAUUGGACUACUGUUCUGUGGGGCUUUCUCUUACCCCAGAAAGGGUGAAACUGAAUGUGACCUGGCUGGAGAGCUGGAAUGAGAAGAAGCAGACUCCUGGACAAGAGAGUACUGGAGGAGGAAACUAUUGUGGUUUGCCCACCAACAAGGGGGUAUGCUAGCUGGAGCCUGCUUCAGAAAAUGGUUCUCCCUAUGGAUUUACUACUCUUUCAGAUAUACUGCUUGCUUGGAGAUGGAGUCAAGAUCAGAAAGCCUGUAAUUUCUGCCUUUCCUGUUCAUCAGAUCUCUUGAUGGUGGCAAGCCUAUAUGAUAUGCUAUUGCAAAGUAUAUAGUAGUCAGCUUUACGCUUUGGUCCACCAAAAACAAAGCUCACCCAAGACUCUCCAUAACUAUGCAGCAAUCUGUAAAUCAUGGUUUGUUUUUUGAAAUCUGAAUAUUUCUGGU
Molecule: long non-coding RNA, 941 nt
Organism: Mauremys reevesii (Reeves's turtle)
Lineage: Eukaryota; Metazoa; Chordata; Testudines; Geoemydidae
Exons: 2
Source: RefSeq, a predicted model, not a curated record